UGUCCACACUUAGGUCCAUAGGCACAGGUCA
This 31-nucleotide non-coding RNA is filed under the name Homo sapiens (human). The record is from RNAcentral. Lineage: Eukaryota; Metazoa; Chordata; Mammalia; Primates; Hominidae.